GAUGAACGCUAGCGGCAGGCCUAAUACAUGCAAGUCGAACGGUAACAUGAGUAGCAAUACUUGAUGACGAGUGGCGCACGGGUGCGUAACGCGUAUACAAUCUGCCUUUAACUGGUGAAUAGCCCGAAGAAAUUCGGAUUAAUACACCAUAGUAUAUUGAGGAGGCAUCUCCUUAAUAUUAAAACUCCGGUGGUUAAAGAUGAGCAUGCGUGACAUUAGCUAGUUGGUGAGGUAACGGCUCACCAAGGCAACGAUGGCUAGGGGAGCUGAGAAGAUUAACCCCCACACUGGUACUGAGACAGGGACCAGACUCCUGCUGGAGGCAGCCGUAAGGAAUAUUGGUCAAUGGUCGCAAGACUGAUCCAGCCAUGCCGCGUGAAGGAUGACGGCCCUAUGGGUUGUAAACUUCUUUUGUACGGGAAAAAACCCUUCUACGUGUAGAGGGCUGAUUGUACCGUAAGAAUAAGGAUCGGCUAACUCCGUGCCAGCCGCCGCGGUAA
Molecule: ribosomal RNA, 500 nt
Filed under: uncultured bacterium
Lineage: Bacteria
Description: partial 16S ribosomal RNA
Rfam family: Bacterial small subunit ribosomal RNA
Source: RNAcentral